This 483-nucleotide long non-coding RNA is filed under the name Phoenix dactylifera (date palm). RNAcentral describes it as "long non-coding RNA (PDAC_LNC017737)". Lineage: Eukaryota; Viridiplantae; Streptophyta; Magnoliopsida; Arecales; Arecaceae. The record is from RNAcentral.
GAGAGAGAGAGAGAGAGAGAGAGGAAGAAGAAAAUAACAGAAGAAACCCUUCAGUUCGGAAGGGGGUCGGCAAUGGCAGAUCUGGGGAAAAAAAGCCCUAGAGAUUCGGAGCUCCUUUAAUUACCAACUUCUUGGACGGCGAAUGGAAAAUAAAAAAAAGGGGAACAGAGGCCGGUGGAUUUUCUAACUAAAGAAUAGAAAAGAGGAGAAAAUUGCCAUCAUUCUUGCGACAAGAAGAACUAAAAAGGAGGAGCGGGGAGCCGCGAGCGAAUUGACCCAGUGGAAGGGACCGAGAGUCGAGGUGGCCACGUGGCGCCCGGACUGGGGCCAUUACGGCGUUACGCCAGGGGCGGGGUUUCACACGUGUGCGGUCGGGAGCGGUUCGCGCCGGGGCGGAGGACGACCGGUACCUGCCAUUGCUGGGGUUCGCCGGCUCGUGCGGGGAAUAAUUCCAUUCCCCUGGAUAAGAAGGGAGGAAUUCUG